UCCUCGCUCAAACAAUCGCAAUCAAAGCUUCCACACCGAAAGGGCGCUCUGGCUCUCUUUCUGCUUCUUCUCGCUUUGGGAGAAAGUCCCCGGACACGCCAUGGGUCUUCUCGUGGUAUGCGGAAACGCGCCGCCAUAGAUGCAAGCACACCUGCGGCUUACACGCCUGUCCCUUCCGUUUCGCUGCCUGGACAUGGUCCCUGUCGCCAUUUGCACUCUUCAUGUGCGCUGUUGGUCUUGUUGCUGGUCUCUUGCUCGGUCGCCUCGCCUGCAAAGGGGAUGAGGAUAUGAGUCCGCGGCUGGGCAACGGGGCUGGCUAAGGGGUCCUUCUGGCGUCGUGGAGAGGAGGUGAUGGGUUCGUCUUGGUAAUCUCGCCGUCUUUGGGCUGCGGGAGUCACAGGAAGGGCAUCCGGCAUCUUCUUCGUCGAGGUCGAAAGAUAUGCGAUUGCCUUCUUUUGAAAGAAAGAGGUAACUCGAUGGGGCUUAUUCUUGAUGCGAGG
RNAcentral lists this RNase MRP RNA (500 nucleotides) under Aureobasidium namibiae CBS 147.97. RNAcentral describes it as "RNase MRP". It matches the Rfam family "RNase MRP". Rfam says of the family: RNase MRP is an enzymatically active ribonucleoprotein with two distinct roles in eukaryotes. Lineage: Eukaryota; Fungi; Ascomycota; Dothideomycetes; Dothideales; Saccotheciaceae. The record is from Rfam by way of RNAcentral.